Molecule: ribosomal RNA, 239 nt
Filed under: uncultured bacterium
Lineage: Bacteria
Description: partial 16S ribosomal RNA
Rfam family: Bacterial small subunit ribosomal RNA
Source: RNAcentral
UAUCCUACGGGACGCAGCAGUCGAGAAUCAUUCACAAUGGGGGAAACCCUGAUGGAGCAACGCCGCGUGAGUGAAGAAGGGUUUCGGCUCGUAAAGCUCUGUUGGUAGUGAAGAAAGAUAGAGGUAGUAACUGGCCUUUAUUUGACGGUAAUUACUUAGAAAGUCACGGCUAACUACGUGCCAGCAGCCGCGGUAAUACGUAGGUGGCAAGCGUUGUCCGGAUUUAUUGGGCGUAAAGC